GUUCAAUCACAAAUAUCUCUCUUCCUUGCCAACACUCAUCAGUGCUCUCACAGAACCCAUAAACCCUAACCCCUCUCCGACCUCACGUCUCGCUCGCAGGGAAACAGAAAAAAAAUGGCGAACAAACCCUACUCCUUCCCUCCUUCCUCACCCAUGGAUCAUCUCCUAAUGCAAAGCCUCAUGAACCGCCUCCAUCUCCGCUCUCCAUCAUCCGAGGAUUCCCCCAAUUCACUCUUCCGAGACCUUUUCCCUCAACUCGCCGAUGAUGAUCUUCCUCUAUCCGACGAUGAGUCCACCGAAGCAAAUGACCUUUCGGAUGACAAUCGGCGCCGUCGCACUAUUGCGAAGGAGGAGGCGAAGCUUGAGAGGGAAAUCAUUCGAAUUAUACGCGCAGGUAAUGCUAAGGAGGCACUCAAAGCCAACUCGGGUCAAUCCGUCGCCGUUGGCGAGCACAACAUCUGCGUUGGGGUUCACGACGAGGCUUCCAGUAACUACAGGGUUUGGGAAUGGCACGGCCAUAUCAUGAUGUUUGACGAAGAGGAUGGAUUCAAUGCGGAGUAUGUGUACGGGAAUCAUUUCGAGAGGUUGCUGGAGAAGAAAGGAAAGGCCGGGAAGGAGAAGGGAGAUGAGGAGGAAGAGGUAGAGCCGAGGGGUGGUAGUUCGGGGUUGAAGGAUUUGAUAGGAGAUUUGAAGGAUUCCAGUGCUAACAGUAAAGGGAGGGUUCUUCAUCGGAAUUCUCUCACUUCUGGAUCUUCAUCAAAGUAAAGGUUGCAUUCUUUGUGACCAACUUCAUCCCUCGCUGCAUCGAUACUGCAUUCUUUUGGGGAUCAAUUGCUCUAGAUGGCGAUUCUUUAAAAAACAAUUGAGGGUUGCAAUGCCAUCGUGAUUAAAAGAUGGUGCAAAAUCUUCAAGAAUGUUCAGAAUGCUUGCUUUCUCCACAUUGCGUUUUGGUAUGUUUUUUUGCAUCUUUUCCUGCUUUGGAGGGUAAAUGUGUUUGCUUUUAUUGUAACUAUAUUAUAUUAUAUGGUUUACUCUCAAAAUAUUCUUUUUUUUUUGUUUGGUUGUAAUUUCUCGUAUAAAUAUUAUGUUUAUUUUGAUGCUUAAAAUUAGCUGAGCUUCAUUUUAA
Phalaenopsis equestris is the source of this 1126-nucleotide RNA transcript. RefSeq lists it as uncharacterized. NCBI's taxonomy places the organism in Eukaryota, Viridiplantae, Streptophyta, Magnoliopsida, Asparagales, Orchidaceae. The record is from RefSeq and is a predicted model, not a curated record. The transcript has 3 exons.